GACGAACGCUGGCGGCGUGCUUAACACAUGCAAGUCGAACGGAAAGGCCCUGCUUUUGUGGGGUGCUCGAGUGGCGAACGGGUGAGUAACACGUGAGUAACCUGCCCUUGACUUUGGGAUAACUUCAGGAAACUGGGGCUAAUACCGGAUAGGAGCUCCUGCUGCAUGGUGGGGGUUGGAAAGUUUCGGCGGUUGGGGAUGGACUCGCGGCUUAUCAGCUUGUUGGUGGGGUAGUGGCUUACCAAGGCUUUGGCGGGUAGCCGGCCUGAGAGGGUGAACGGCGACAUUGGGCCUGAGAGACGGCGCAGACUCCUACGGGAGGCAGCAGUGGGGAAUAUUACACAAUGGGCGGAAGCCUGAUGCAGCAGCGCCGCGUGCGGGAUGACGGCCUUCGGGUUGUAAACCGCUUUCGCCUGUGACGAAGCGUGAGUGACGGUAAUGGGUAAAGAAGCACCGGCUAACUACGUG
RNAcentral lists this ribosomal RNA (468 nucleotides) under uncultured bacterium. RNAcentral's name for it is "partial 16S ribosomal RNA". It matches the Rfam family "Bacterial small subunit ribosomal RNA", at positions 28 to 507 of the family's 1533-position model. The record is from RNAcentral.